CACCUCCCACCCGUGUUUAUUUUACCUUGUUGCUUCGGCGGGCCCGCCUUAACUGGCCGCCGGGGGGCUUACGCCCCCGGGCCCGCGCCCGCCGAAGACACCCUCGAACUCUGUCUGAAGAUUGUAGUCUGAGUGAAAAUAUAAAUUAUUUAAAACUUUCAACAACGGAUCUCUUGGUUCCGGCAUCGAUGAAGAACGCAGCGAAAUGCGAUACGUAAUGUGAAUUGCAAAUUCAGUGAAUCAUCGAGUCUUUGAACGCACAUUGCGCCCCCUGGUAUUCCGGGGGGCAUGCCUGUCCGAGCGUCAUUUCUGCCCUCAAGCACGGCUUGUGUGUUGGGCCCCGUCCUCCGAUCCCGGGGGACGGGCCCGAAAGGCAGCGGCGGCACCGCGUCCGGUCCUCGAGCGUAUGGGGCUUUGUCACCCGCUCUGUAGGCCCGGCCGGCGCUUGCCGAUCAACCCAAAUUUUUAUCCAGGUUGACCUCGGAUCAGGUAGGGAUACCCGCUGAACUUAAGCAUAUCAUA
Molecule: ribosomal RNA, 522 nt
Filed under: Penicillium chrysogenum
Lineage: Eukaryota; Fungi; Ascomycota; Eurotiomycetes; Eurotiales; Aspergillaceae
Description: eukaryotic LSU rRNA
Rfam family: 5.8S ribosomal RNA (bases 154-306)
Source: RNAcentral